Molecule: ribosomal RNA, 392 nt
Filed under: Ebria sp.
Lineage: Eukaryota; Cercozoa; Thecofilosea; Ebriacea
Description: partial small subunit ribosomal RNA
Rfam family: Eukaryotic small subunit ribosomal RNA
Source: RNAcentral
AGCUCCAAUAGCGUAUAUUAAAGUUGUUGCAGUUAAAAAGCUCGUAGUUGGAUUUCUGGUUUGAUGCCCUGGCCCGCUGCUAUUUUGGUAGUGUGUGCCGGUUGUGCGUCUGCCAUCCUUCUGGGGAACGUUCCUUCUCUUCACUGAGCCGGGUUCGUGAUCCAGAUCGUUUACUUUGAAAAAAUUAGAGUGUUUAAAGCAGGCUUUGGCUAUGAAUACAUUAGCAUGGAAUAAUAAUCUAGGACUUUGGUCAUAUUUUGUUGGUUUCUGUAACUGAAGUAAUGAUUGAUAGGGAUAGUUGGGGGUGCUAGUAUUGAGCGGCCAGAGGUGAAAUUCUUGGAUUCGCUCAAGACUAACUUAUGCGAAAGCAUUCACCAAGGAUGUCUUCUUUA